GAUGAACGCUGGCGGCGUGCCUAAUACAUGCAAGUCGAGCGAAAAGAUGAGGCGCUUGCUCCUCUGACGUUAGCGGCGGACGGGUGUGUAACACGUGGAUAACCUCCCUAUAAGACUGGUAUAAUUUCGGGAAAGCGGAUCUAAUCCCGGAUAAUAUAUUGAACCGCAUGGGUCGAUAGUAAAAGACGGCUUUGCUGUCACGUCUCGAUGCAUCCGCGCCGCAUUAGCUAGUUGGUAAGGUCACAGCGUACCAAGGCGACGCUGCGUAGGCGACCUGAGAGGGUGAGUGGCCACACUGGGAGUGAGACAGGCUCCAGACGCCUACGGGAGGGAGCAGGAGGGAAUCGGCCGCAAUGGGCGGAAGCUUGACGGCGCAACGCCGAGGGAGGGAGGAAGAUCUUCGGAUCGUAAAACUCGGUUAUUAGGGAGGAACAAAUGUGUGAGUAUGUAUGCACGUCUUGACGGUACCUAAGCAGAGAGGCACGGCUAACUAAGUG
RNAcentral lists this ribosomal RNA (497 nucleotides) under uncultured bacterium. Its description in RNAcentral is "partial 16S ribosomal RNA". It matches the Rfam family "Bacterial small subunit ribosomal RNA", at positions 28 to 507 of the family's 1533-position model. The record is from RNAcentral.